Molecule: ribosomal RNA, 492 nt
Filed under: uncultured bacterium
Lineage: Bacteria
Description: partial 16S ribosomal RNA
Rfam family: Bacterial small subunit ribosomal RNA
Source: RNAcentral
AGUGAACGCUGGCGGUAGGCCUAACACAUGCAAGUCGAACGGCAGCGCAGUAAGAGCUUGCUCUUACGGGUGGCGAGUGGCGGACGGGUGAGGAAUACAUCGGAAUCUACUUUUUCGUGGGGGAUAACGUAGGGAAACUUACGCUAAUACCGCAUACGACCUACGGGUGAAAGCAGGGGAUCUUCGGACCUUGCGCGAUUGAAUGAGCCGAUGUCGGAUUAGCUAGUUGGCGGGGUAAAGGCCCACCAAGGCGACGAUCCGUAGCUGGUCUGAGAGGAUGAUCCGCCACAAUGGAACUGAGACACGGUCCCGACUCCUACGGGAGGCAGCAGUGGGGAAUAUUGGACAAUGGGCGCAAGCCUGAUCCAGCCAUACCGCGUGGGUGAAGAAGGCCUUCGGGUUGUAAAGCCCUUUUGUUGGGAAAGAAAAGCAGCAGGUUAAUACCCCGCUGUUCUGACGGUACCCAAAGAAUAAGCACCGGCUAACUUCGUG